This 601-nucleotide ribosomal RNA is filed under the name Rhodotorula sphaerocarpa. RNAcentral's name for it is "eukaryotic LSU rRNA". It matches the Rfam family "Eukaryotic large subunit ribosomal RNA", at positions 47 to 663 of the family's 3401-position model. The record is from RNAcentral. Lineage: Eukaryota; Fungi; Basidiomycota; Microbotryomycetes; Sporidiobolales; Sporidiobolaceae.
UAAGCGGAGGAAAAGAAACUAACAAGGAUUCCCCUAGUAGCGGCGAGCGAAGCGGGAAGAGCUCAAAUUUAUAAUCUGGCACCUUCGGUGUCCGAGUUGUAAUCUCUAGAAGUGUUUUCCGCGUUGGACCGCGCAUAAGUCUGUUGGAAUACAGCGGCACAGUGGUGAGACCCCCGUAUGUGGUGCGGACGCCCAGCGCUUUGUGAUACACUUUCGAAGAGUCGAGUUGUUUGGGAAUGCAGCUCAAAUUGGGUGGUAAAUUCCAUCUAAAGCUAAAUAUUGGCGAGAGACCGAUAGCGAACAAGUACCGUGAGGGAAAGAUGAAAAGCACUUUGGAAAGAGAGUUAACAGUACGUGAAAUUGUUGGAAGGGAAACGCUUGAAGUCAGACUUGCUUGCCGGGCAACCGGUUUGCAGGCCAGCAUCAGUUUUCCGGGGUGGAUAAUGGUAGAGAGAAGGUAGCAGUUUCGGCUGUGUUAUAGCUCUCUACUGGAUACACCUUGGGGGACUGAGGAACGCAGUGNGCCUUACGGCGGAGGUUUCGACCUCUUCACACUUAGGAUGCUGGUGGAAUGGCUUUAAACGACCCGUCUUGAAACACG